RNAcentral lists this ribosomal RNA (594 nucleotides) under fungal endophyte sp. AC4. RNAcentral's name for it is "eukaryotic LSU rRNA". It matches the Rfam family "Eukaryotic large subunit ribosomal RNA", at positions 38 to 648 of the family's 3401-position model. The record is from RNAcentral. Lineage: Eukaryota; Fungi.
GCAUAUCAAUAAGCGGAGGAAAAGAAACCAACAGGGAUUGCCCUAGUAACGGCGAGUGAAGCGGCAACAGCUCAAAUUUGAAAUCUGGCCCCUUUGGGGUCCGAGUUGUAAUUUGCAGAGGGUGCUUUGGCGUUGGCGGCGGUCUAAGUUCCUUGGAACAGGACAUCGCAGAGGGUGAGAAUCCCGUAUGUGGUCGCAUGCCUUCGCCGUGUAAAGCCCCUUCGACGAGUCGAGUUGUUUGGGAAUGCAGCUCUAAAUGGGAGGUAAAUUUCUUCUAAAGCUAAAUACCGGCCAGAGACCGAUAGCGCACAAGUAGAGUGAUCGAAAGAUGAAAAGCACUUUGGAAAGAGAGUCAAACAGCACGUGAAAUUGUUGAAAGGGAAGCGCUUGCAGCCAGACUUGCCUGUAGUUGCUCACCCGGGCUCCUGCCCGGGGCACUCUUCUGCAGGCAGGCCAGCAUCAGUUUGGGCGGUCGGAUAAAGGGCUCUGACACGUACUUCCCCUCGGGGUUGACAUACAGGGGAGCCGCAAUGCGACCAGCCCGGACUGAGGUCCGCGCAUCUGCUAGGAUGCUGACGUAAUGGCUUAAACGAC